AUCUGUCAGUGAUGUUAUAUUUUACCUACAUUGUUUGAAUUGCUGUGAGAACAUUUUUAUACUCUGAGACAGAU
This is a small nucleolar RNA of Hyla sarda, 74 nucleotides long. RefSeq annotates it as small nucleolar RNA SNORD34. The transcript has a single exon. NCBI's taxonomy places the organism in Eukaryota, Metazoa, Chordata, Amphibia, Anura, Hylidae. The record is from RefSeq and is a predicted model, not a curated record.